This 2423-nucleotide ribosomal RNA is filed under the name human gut metagenome. RNAcentral's name for it is "bacterial LSU rRNA". It matches the Rfam family "Bacterial large subunit ribosomal RNA", at positions 3 to 2420 of the family's 2925-position model. The record is from RNAcentral.
UCAAGCUAAUAAGAGCGCAAGGGGAAUGCCUUGGCACUAGGAGCCGAAGAAGGACGUGGCAAGCUGCGAUAAGCCUCGGGGAGUCGCAAACAGACAUUGAUCCGGGGAUUUCCGAAUGGGGAAACCCGGCGGAGCAAUACUCCGUCAUCCUGCGUUGAAUCAAAUAGGCGUAGGAAGGGAACCGCCUGAACUGAAACAUCUAAGUAGGGCGAGGAAGAGACAUCAACCGAGAUUCCGCUAGUAGUGGCGAGCGAACGCGGAAGAGGCCAAACCGAAGGUAGCAAUAUCUUCGGGGUUACGGACAGACAUCAUGAUCAGAGGUAUCUAGACGAACGGCAUGGGAAGGCCGGCGAGACAGUGUGAGAGCCACGUAGUCGAAAGAGAAGACUGACAGUCUGGAUCCAGAGUACCGCAGGACACGAGGAACCCUGUGGGAAGUCGGGGGGACCACCCUCCAAGCCUAAAUACUACCUGAUGACCGAUAGUGGAGCAGUACCGUGAGGGAAAGGUGAAAAGAACCCCGGGAGGGGAGUGAAAUAGUACCUGAAACCGUAUGUCUACAAGCAGUCGGAGCGAAAGCGACGGCGUGCCUAUUGAAGAAUGAACCAACGAGUUAUCUGCACUAGCGAGGUUAAGUGGAAGACACGGAGCCGUAGCGAAAGCGAGUCUGAAAAGGGCGACGAGUUAGUGUAGGUAGACCCGAAACCGCAGUGAUCUACCCAUGUCCAGGUUGAAGCGCAGGUAAAAAUGCGUGGAGGACCGAACCGGUGAGCGUUGAAAAGCUUUCGGAUGAGAUGUGGGUAGGGGUGAAAUUCCAAUCGAACGCGGAGAUAGCUGGUUCUCCCCGAAAUAGCUUUAGGGCUAGCCUCAGGUAGUAAGUAUAGGCGGUAGAGCACUGAUCGGGCUAGGGGCCAUAAAGGUUACCGAACCCUGUCAAACUCCGAAUGGAUAUACUGCAGAGCCUGGGAGUCAGACUACGAGUGAUAAGAUCCGUGGUCAAAAGGGAAACAGCCCAGACCACCGGCUAAGGUCCCAAAUGCCGUACUAAGUGGAAAAGGAUGUGGGGAUUCAUAAACAACCAGGAUGUUGGCUCAGAAGCAGCCACCAUUUAAAGAGUGCGUAAUAGCUCACUGGUCGAGAGUCCCUGCGCCGAAAAUUUCCGGGGCUAAAGUACGGAACCGAAGCCGUGGCUGUGCAUGUAAGUGCACGGGGUAGGGGAGCGUUGCCACAGGGGUGAAGCUGGUCUGGAAGGACUGGUGGACUUGUGGGAAGUGAGAAUGUUGGUAUGAGUAGCGAAAAGAAAGGUGAGAAUCCUUUCCACCGAAAGCAUAAGGAUUCCUGAGCAACGAUCGUCGUCUCAGGGUAAGUCGGGACCUAAUCCGAGGCAAAGAGCGUAGGAGAUGGACAACAGGUUGAUAUUCCUGUACCGGCAGUAAUUGUUUGAGCGAAGGAGUGACACAGAAGGGCAGGCAGGCGCGAGACUGGAUUGUCGCGUGCAAGCGUGUAGGGUAGUGUACAGGCAAAUCCGUACACUCUGGGCCUGAGGCGUUACGCGGAGCGAGCAGAGAUGCGAGCGAAGCUGCUGAUCCCACACUGUCGAGAAAAGCUUCUAGUGAGAGAGCUGCCGCCCGUACCGUAAACCGACACAGGUAUGCGGGGAGAGAAUCCUAAGGUGCGCGGGAGAACCCUCGUUAAGGAACUCGGCAAAAUGUACCCGUAACUUCGGGAUAAGGGUAGCCGUCUUGGUGAAGGAGCUUGCCUCUGGAGCUGAAGGCGGUCGCAGAGAAGAGGCCCAAGCGACUGUUUACCACAAACACAGGUGCCUGCUAAAGCGAAAGCUGACGUAUAGGUGCUGACACCUGCCCAGUGCUGGAAGGUUAAGGAAGGAUGUCCGGGCAACCAAAGCAUUCGACCGAAGCCCCAGUGAACGGCGGCCGUAACUAUAACGGUCCUAAGGUAGCGAAAUUCCUUGUCAGGUAAGUUCUGACCCGCAUGAAAGGCGUAAUGAUCUGGGCACUGUCUCAACAGCCCGCCCGGCGAAAUUGUAGUACCGGUGAAGAUGCCGGUUACCCGCGACAAGACGGAAAGACCCCAUGGAGCUUUACUGUAGCCUAAUAUUGGGUUUCGGUGUUGCAUGCACAGGAUAGAUGGGACGCUAGGAAGUGAGUGCUUUGGCAUUCAUGGAGCGGCCGUUGGGAUACCAUCCUUGCGACAUUGGAAUUCUAACCUGCGCCUUUGAAUCAAGGCGGGGGACAUUGUUAGGUGGGCAGUUUGACUGGGGCGGUCGCCUCCUAAAGAGUAGCGGAGGCGUUCAAAGGUUGGCUCGUCCUGGACGGAAACCAGGAGAGAGAGUGCAAACGCAAAAGCCAGCCUGACUGCGAGACUGACGGGUCGAGCAGAGACGAAAGUCGGAGUUAGUGAUC